GGGCCCUCGGUGGGCAAAAAAAUCACGAAAAAAUGAAACUUACCGGCGGCGGUGCUCUCGGGUGCAGCGGCUCCUCCGGCAUGAGUCGCAUUUUGAUGUUUGGCUCUGAUCAACCUGUAGAGAAAAGAACGGUGAUCACAGUGGUAUAAAAUUUGCAUCGAACGGAGGCCAGGAAGGGCCUCAUCGGAGGCAAAAACAGAGGGGGGCGCGGUGGCGCCGCUGGACUUCGGCUGGGUUUUUCGGCCGUUUGACCGGUGGUUUGGCUCCGGUUUGGCCAUAGGCGGACUCAGCAUCGAAAAACGAGCCAGGAGGAGAAAAUUUACCUCGAUCGGCGGUCGAAAACUUCCCCGGUGCGGCAGCGGGUGGCGGCGGCCGGCUCCUCCGCGUCUGGUUCUUCUUCUCCGGCGAGGCACUGGCGGCUAGCGUUUUGUGGUCAGGUGUGGGUGGGGUUAUUUAUACCCUUUGCCUUUUGAUCUCAACCGUCCAUCAAGAUUAGAUCUGAACCGUUCGAUCGCGAUUUAAUUGAAAUUAAAUCUGGACCGUCCAUCACGAUGCAAUCUGGACGGUCCGUACGCGUGAAUCUGGGCCGUCCGUGCGCAUGUUUGAUCUGGACCGUCCGUGCGCACGUUUGAUCUGGGCCGUCCGUGCGCACAGGAACGGAUCUGGGCCGUCCGAUCGUG
Molecule: long non-coding RNA, 680 nt
Filed under: Carica papaya (papaya)
Lineage: Eukaryota; Viridiplantae; Streptophyta; Magnoliopsida; Brassicales; Caricaceae
Description: long non-coding RNA (CPAP_LNC015087)
Source: RNAcentral